AGAGGUGUUGUGAAGAUUACAGAUUAUAAGGGCAAAAUGGUGGCUGUAUCAGUGAACAGUAGUCAGGAUUAUUUUUUACUUUCCGGUGACUCAAACCUCUCCUAAACUGCUCUCUCAGUUUUGGCUCCGUCUUCCCAUCAUAAUAAUAGGUGGUGUAGAGAGGUGACAGAGUCAAGGAACAUGGUUCUUGUUUUCUGAAGAUGGUUCUUUCCUCAAGCCCUUUGAGUCUUCUUUGGUCUUAUAUUCUCGUCACAGAAGGAGAGGUGAUUGUCUUUCCCCAGUUUUGUCUACCAUUCCGGUUCCAUCUGCGUUCCCGGAGGAGUCCUGUUGAGGGCAGAGUGACUGCGAGCAAAACAUGAAGAGCUGUGUCACCAAGUUCCAUAAAAUCUGGGAGCCCAAGCAGCGUAUUUGUGGGAUUUGUCUGACAGAACGCAAUGGAAACAGAACGCAAUGGAAACAGAGCGCGGCAUUCACUCCAUCUCCCACAGGUCACCUGUGGAGAAAGAAACAUCAUCUCUCAACAGAGGAUUGUUCCUCCGUUUGAUGAUACGUGCAUCCUGGCAUCUGGAAUUCAAUUGACUGUUCUGUCUUAGAGCCAAGAAUCUAGAAACUCUCCAAUCCUGAAGUCAAAAUGGAAUGCAUCUCUGCUCUUCCUCUGGGCAUCAUCUAAUUUUUUUGUUCUUGUUUUCCUUGUACUGGAAUCUACAACACCCUCUGCUACCCCCUCAACCAGCCUUUCUUCUGCAGAGCAACUUAGUUCUAAUUAGCAACUACAAACCUAUUCACCUAGAUCCAAGAGUUCAGCAGUGUCUUUUAAGUAUGUAACAGGCAAUUCUUUUACAUUUUAUUGAGAUGACUACUUUAAAAAAAUUGGUUGCUACCCAGAACUGUUUAGAACAUUGCUUGCUUUAGGUAAGUGAGUGAAGCAAGAUGUGAUAACAUAGGGCUGGGGGACUAGAGUUGGGCAGUGUGGUAGCACAUGAUUUUGUUACUUGAGAUUGCCUGUAAUUGUAAAUGUCAGUGACCAGAGUGAUAUGAGACUCACAGGGGCUCUUGAAGUUCUGCUUCUUCCCUAUUCCUUAAUGCAAUACAAUAUUUAGGUUCAUCUUUUCAAUUUUCCUGGAAAAAUUAAAUACUGUGCCAUAAUAUAAAAAUAAGUAAUUUGAAAGUAAAGGAAGGGCAUGAAUGGAGAGGAGGCAGGAAAACAUUCUAGGUUGGAAAAAAUGGCAGAAGUAAUAAUGUUGGGACAUUGGAGUGAUGGUGGAGGUGGGAAUAGAAUCUAGGAUCUCUUCAUCCCAUGCUAUGCAUCUAUGUUCACAAAAUUAGUAUGGCCAAAUAUUAAAUCAGCUCAUUUCUGGUUGGGAAAAGUAGGGUGAAUGUGCCUUUCUAGCUGUCCUUGAGAUGUAAAUCUCCUGUAACAUAGCUUCCCUAGUGGUCACCUCAAAGGCUUUGUUCUCUCCAGGAUAGAUGCUACAGAAUGGGACAGUACUUGGUGUGUGUGUGUGUGUAUCUCAAUUUUUUUUUAAACAUGACAAAUUGAACUAGGGGCAAGAGAAGGACGGACAGAGGAGCCUAUGAUGGGGUGGUGAAUACUAAAUAUUUUCCAGGUGUAAGGAGCAGAGGAGGAAAAGGGAGACUGGGUAACCCUUUUUCAGACCAUCAUUUAGUCCAUUUUAUGUUGCAAACCUACUCCAGCUUUCUUAAACAGUGGGGUUUUCAUUACAACAUAGUUAAGAGAGUAGGCUUAGGAGUAAGAUUGCUUGAUCCUGAGUAAGUUACUGAAUCUUGAUGUCUCAGUUUCUUCAUUCCAGUUAAGUAAAUAUAUUUAAAUUAAAUUAUAUUAGUUAGUAAAUGUAAAGCACACAGAAAAGUGUUUGGCUUCUAGUGAGCUUUCAAUAAGUGUUAACUAUUAUUUGUUAUUAUUAUUUUAGCAAAACCAACCUCCAAAACCUAUGGAGUCAGUUUACAGAAAGCCACCAGGAGAAGGGAAAUAAGAAGAUUCUUUACUUUGCUGUCAUCUGAUACACUUAGCAUUUUAAAUGACUAUAUGUACAAUAUUAACCAUGCCUUUCCACAAAACUAUGUGUGUGCAUAUGAAUUACAGGGCUUUCAUUUGAAACUGAACUAUCUGUGUUUGUAGUUACUUUAGUCAUACAACAAACCUACAAAAUAUUUAAGCAUAAAUUAUCAUGAUGACUAAAUACAGAAAAGCUGCGGUUACCAAAACCUGCACCCAAAUGGACUGCACAGGAUGGGUAAUUGGAUGGUGGUGUAAAGAAUGCUCAUGAGGCCUAGGCUGCUGCUAAUUAGAUCUUCUAUGCUAUUUAAAUGUUCUCCAAGCUUCAGGGAGUGCCCUGAAGGCAGUUGGACAUUAGCCUUGUGGUUUUUGAGGGUAACCUACAGUUUGUCAGCACAGGGGUGGAGGUGAGCACCAUGGGACUUUUCCCAGGCUGCUGGUUAACAUGCUGUGGUUUCAAUCCUUUAAGCCAAUAAAUGGAGGAGAGAGAAAGAAGGCAGACUGAAAUUAGAGGAAAAGAGCGAAAGAAAGGGAAAGUAGAAGUAAGAAUAAUAUUCAUGAAAUGUCUUCUUUGGGCCAGAUAUUUUUUUAGGAACUUUCACAUAUUGUGCUUACAUCAACUCUGUGGGAAAUGUAUGAUUAUACUAUCCUCAUUUGUAACAGACAUUGUUGGGUGCCUAUAUAACAUAUAACAGCUAUUUUUCAUUUUUUUUCUUGCUGAUAGUGCUUUUUUUUUCUUUUUUUUUUUUUUUUAGUGUUUACUUCCCAAAUAGAACUUAUGUCUCCAUGUCUCCAUCCUUCAGCAAUAGGGGUAAUUCUGAAAGGUCAUUGUUUUGCAAUUGCCCUUGGAAGGAAUUUCUUGGACAUAACAACAGAUAAGAUUCUAGCCAAUGAAAGGUGAUGAGAAGGUUGCUGAGAAGUUUCUGAGAAAGGUUUCUUUAUUCUUUAACAAAUACCCUGGAAAGAGACAGGCCUUCUGCUGCUGUUCAUGGUCGUACCUGCACAGGAUGCCUGAAAAGGAGUAACCUUGGGGUCAGAAGAGGAGCCAGCGUGAGGACAAAGCAGAUACACUGAAGUAUCACCUAUCAUUAAAUUUUUGUGCAAGAGUAUAAACAUUCUCAUUGUUUAAUCUUUCCGUGGGAGACGCUUUACUAUGUGUAGCAAAGUCAUUCUAACUGACAUACCAUUUUCCAUUUUAUGAGAAAACUGAUGUACAGAAAGGUUAAGAAACUUGCCUGCAUUUGCAUGCAUAAUGAGGAAUGGAGAGAACAGGUUGUGCCUUCUAAUAUACAGGCAAGAUAUGUCUCUUUUAAACAGCACAUACAGACACACUCCAAAAUGACAAUUUCCAUCAUUUUUUAAAAAUUAAAUGAGACAAAGACUCUAAAACUAUUUAAAUAACAUGUACAUUACUGUCAAGAUUUAUUUUUAUUUUUUUCAGCUCUAUUGAGAUAUAGUUGACAAAUAAAAUGGUAUGAAUUUAAGGUGUACCAUGUGAUGAUUUGAUGUAUGUAUGUAUUGUGAGAAGACCAAAAUAAAGUCAGUUAACAUAUCUAUUA
RNAcentral lists this long non-coding RNA (3576 nucleotides) under Pongo abelii (Sumatran orangutan). RNAcentral describes it as "lincRNA". Lineage: Eukaryota; Metazoa; Chordata; Mammalia; Primates; Hominidae. The record is from RNAcentral.